This is an RNA transcript of Nyctereutes procyonoides (raccoon dog), 3925 nucleotides long. It is a transcript of the gene named transient receptor potential cation channel subfamily V member 2, with no coding region annotated. The transcript is spliced from 20 exons. The record is from RefSeq and is a predicted model, not a curated record. NCBI's taxonomy places the organism in Eukaryota, Metazoa, Chordata, Mammalia, Carnivora, Canidae.
CCCUCACCCAUGGCCAGCCUGUGCCGACCCGGGGCUCCCCACCACGCCGGGAGGCCGGGGGGCCGGGGGGGCUGACCGUGCGGAACACCCCGAGACCGCAGCCCGCCCACGGGGCCCAGAGCAGGCUUGGGGAGGCGCCGCGGCUGCCGGCUGCCUGCGCCCGCCGCCGUCCCGGCUUCUCUUCCUCCCGCAGCCCCCGCCGCCCGGGAGGCCCGGGGUCCCAGCGCCCCGCAGCCCCCGCCGCCGCGCCCUAGCCUCGGCCUGCAGGGCCUCAGCCAGACUUCCUACCCCAAACCCAGGGCUGGGAAGAAGGAGGAGCCUCUGACAGCUCUGUCUCUUCAGAGGUUUGAGCUGGACAAAGCAGCCUUCUCCCUGGUAGGAUGGCCUCGCCCUUCAGCUCUCCCACUUUCAGGCUUGAGACAUCAGAUGGAGGCCAGGAAGAUGGCAGUGAGGUGGACAAAGGAAAGGCAGGCCCCGGGGCUGGGCCACCCCCCAUGGAGUCACCAUUCCAAGGGGAGGAUCGCAAGUGCUCUCCUCAGAUCAAAGUAAACCUCAGCUUCCGCAAAGGAGCAGGUGUCAGCCAGCCGGACCCAAACCGCUUUGACCGUGAUCGGCUCUUCAGCGUGGUUGCCCGGGGUGUCCCCGAGGAUCUGGCUGGGUUACCAGAGUACCUGUCCCGGACCAGCAAGUACCUCACUGACUCAGAGUACACAGAGGGCUCCACGGGCAAGACGUGCCUGAUGAAGGCUGUGUUAAACCUUCGGGAUGGCGCCAACGCCUGCAUCCUGCCAUUGCUUCAGAUCGACCGGAACUCUGGCAAUCCCCAGCCCCUGGUCAAUGCCCAAUGCACGGAUGAGUACUACCGAGGCCACAGCGCCCUGCAUAUUGCCAUCGAGAAGAGGAGCCUGCAAUGUGUGAAGCUCUUGGUGGAGAACGGGGCCAAUGUGCAUGCCCAGGCCUGUGGCCAAUUCUUCCAGAAAAAGAGCCAAGGGACUUGCUUCUACUUUGGUGAGCUGCCCCUCUCUCUGGCUGCGUGCACCAAGCAGUGGGAUGUGGUGACCUACCUCCUGGAGAACCCGCAUCAGCCUGCCAGCCUGCAGGCAGCCGACUCGCUGGGCAACACGGCCUUGCAUGCCUUGGUGAUGAUCGCAGACAACUCAGCCGAGAACAGUGCCCUGGUGAUCCGCAUGUAUGAUGCGCUCCUCCGUGCUGGGGCCCGCCUCUGCCCCAAAGUGCAGCUCGAGGACAUCCCCAACCUGCAGGGCCUCACGCCUCUGAAGCUGGCUGCCAAGGAGGGCAAAAUUGAGAUUUUCAGGCACAUCCUGCAGCGGGAGUUCUCGGGGCCGUGCCAGUCACUUUCCCGAAAGUUUACUGAGUGGUGCUACGGGCCUGUCCGGGUGUCGCUGUAUGACCUGGCCUCUGUGGACAGCUGGGAGGAGAACUCCGUGCUGGAGAUCAUCGCCUUUCAUUGCAGAAGCCCGCACCGACAUCGAAUGGUGGUUUUGGAACCGCUGAACAAACUGCUACAGGCGAAAUGGGAUCUGCUAAUCCCCAGAUUCUUCUUCAACUUCCUGUGUUACCUGACCUACAUGUUCAUCUUUACCGCUGUUGCUUACCACCAGCCAGCCCUGGGGAAGGCCUUCCUCCCCCCGACCGUGACUGCUGGGGACUCCAUGCUGCUGCUGGGCCACAUCCUGAUCCUCCUUGGGGGGGUCUACCUCCUGGUGGGCCAGCUAUGGUACUUCUGGAGGCGUCGUCUGUUCAUCUGGAUCUCCUUCGUGGACAGCUACUUUGAACUGCUCUUCCUGGUCCAGGCCCUGCUCACAGUGCUGUCCCAGGGACUGUGUUUCCUGGCCGUGGAGUGGUACCUGCCUCUGCUUGUGUCUUCCCUGGUGCUGGGCUGGCUGAACCUGCUCUAUUAUACACGCGGCUUGCAGCACACAGGCAUCUACAGUGUCAUGAUCCAGAAGGUCAUCCUGCGGGACCUGCUCCGCUUCCUGCUGGUCUACUUAGUCUUCCUGUUUGGCUUCGCUGUAGCCCUGGUGAGCCUGAGCCGGGAAGCCCGGGACUCUGGGGUCCCCACAGGCCCCAAUGUCACGGAGGCAGCGCAGUCUGGGGCAGGACAGGGGGACUCGGAGGGCAGCUCCUCCCCAUAUGGUGGCAUACUGGACGCUUCCUUGGAGCUCUUCAAGUUCACCAUCGGCAUGGGGGAGCUGGCAUUCCAAGACCAGCUGCGCUUCCGCGGCGUGGUGCUACUGCUGCUCCUGGCCUAUGUGCUGCUCACCUACAUCCUGCUGCUCAAUAUGCUCAUCGCCCUCAUGAGCGAGACCGUCAACAGUGUUGCCACUGACAGCUGGAGCAUCUGGAAGCUGCAGAAAGCCAUCUCUGUCCUGGAGAUGGAGAAUGGCUACUGGUGGUGCAGGAGGAAGAAGCAGCGGGCCGGUGUGAAGCUGACCGUUGGGACCAGGCCGGAUGGUAGCUCUGAUGAGCGCUGGUGCUUCAGGGUGGAGGAAGUGAACUGGGCUGCGUGGGAGCAGACGCUGCCAACAGUGUGUGAAGAGCCAUCAGGCCCAGCUGUCCCUGAGGUCAUUCUCCAAAGGCGGAGAGCUGUCGGCGCGCAGGGGUUCGGAGAGGCUCCGUGGAUACUCUGCAAGAGCUGUGGGGAGAGCAGCCUGGCAGCAAGAAUUAGAAGCAGCUAUUUUAUGAAUGUUCGCUGCCUGCCAAGACUACACAGGGUUUCACGCUUGACGUCGCAUGCGAUCCUCAGAACAACGUCUGCCGUGCCGGUAGCUCUCCUGACCACGUGAGCAAUCGGAAAGCUCACAAAGGCAGAGAAUCUUGGUCCAAACCACGCAGCUUGGCAGCGACGGGUUUUCACAACCGAGCUCCAGCCCCCACGCAUGCGCCCUGGGACCCUCCCGUCGCUGAGGGACCCAGAAUUCCCGGGUCCAUGGAAGAGACCAUAGGCUCUAAUGGAGGGGGGGCCGGCGUGGUGAGGCGGAGUCUGCCCCGUCAAAUGGGCAGGAAGUUCCCGUGAGGCUUUGCUAGUGUUACCCUCCCUUCUGCGCGGAAUGGGACGUUCCGACUCCUUAAAGGCCGGGGACGCGGCUCAAGCGACCUUUUCGUUAUUGCGAUAAUGGAGCGCCGCCGCCGUGUGAGGAGCCCGAGGUUCCCGAAGACCGGCCCCCCGCUCCCCGGACCCGGCGUGGGGAGUGCACCGACCCCGGAGGCGUGGCCUCCUCGGUCUAGAUGAACGUGUCCCUGCAGAACCUGCCCUUAACGCGUGUCGCCGGCCAUGUUCCAGGCAGCCGACGGCCUGCAGCGCCUUCAAGCGGGGAUCGGCAUCCCACCCUGAGAUUGCAGAUGCGUGUGCGGUUGCCAGUGUGAUCAGGUCACCAGCAGUGGAGUGUUGGAGUGUGAGCGCUGACCUGCCUCCAGGUUUUGUGUGUUGAAGUUCUCCAGAAUGGUGGUCAGCAGUGUGGAGUUUUAAAGCUGCAGCCCAAGAAGAGGCUAUUUUCCUAGAGCAUGCUCAGCCUUGCUGCAGCAGGGGAAGAACUUCAAAGGUUCAAGGACCAGUGGUCACCGUCAGUUUGGACUGAAAACCCAGCUUCAGCAGUUUGUGGAAACACUGCUUACCUUGUGCUGGGAUUCAUAGAGGCCAUUCUCUUAAUGGCAGAGCCAACAAAUGUGUUUGGCAACAUUUUCUUAGGAUAGGCAAUGUUGGUGUCAUUAAAUUGAGUUUUUUAGUAACGUAUUACAAAUAUUGUAGCCUUCUCAACUCCUUUGUGCAAACAGCUUUUGUGUUUACUUGUAAGAAUUUGUUCUGUUGGGUAAGGUUCUCUUUAAGCUGGAAACUUACUACUGAGACUAAUAUUUCCAUGUAAUCACCAUAAGCCAAUACUGCAAUAAAGAAUGGUCUUUAGUA